CCUACGGGCGGCAGCAGUGGGGAAUAUUGGACAAUGGGGGAAACCCUGAUCCAGCGACGCCGCGGGAGUGAAGAAGUAUUUCGGUAUGUAAAGCUCUCUAAGCAGGGAGGAAAGAAAUGACGGUACCUGACUAAGAAGCCCCGGCUAACUACGUGCAGGCAGCCGCGGUAAUACGUAGGGGGCAAGCGUUAUCCGGAUUUACGGGGUGUAAGGGGAGCGUAGACGGCGAUGCAAGUCUGAAGUGAAAGGCGGGGGCCCAACCCCCGGACUGCUUUGGAAACUGUAUGGCUGGAGGGCAGGAGAGGUAAGUGGAAUUCCUAGUGUAGCGGUGAAAUGCGUAGAUAUUAGGAGGAACACCAGUGGCGAAGGCGGCUUACUGGACUGUAACUGACGUUGAGGCUCGAAAGCGUGGGGAGCAAACAGGAUUAGAUACCCUUGUAGUC
This 443-nucleotide ribosomal RNA is filed under the name uncultured bacterium. RNAcentral's name for it is "partial 16S ribosomal RNA". It matches the Rfam family "Bacterial small subunit ribosomal RNA", at positions 338 to 795 of the family's 1533-position model. The record is from RNAcentral.